CCCUUAGAUGUUCUGGGCCGCACGCGCGCUACACUGAUACAGGCAGCAAGUUAUAUUUCCCCUUGGCCGAGAGGCCUGGGCAAUCUUGUUAACGUGCAUCGUGAUAGGGAUAGAUUAUUGAAAUUAUUAAUCUUGAACGAGGAAUUCCUAGUAAACGCAGAUCAUCAAUCUGCAUUGAUUACGUCCCUGCCCUUUGUACACACCGCCCGUCGCACCUACCGAUUGGAUGGUCCGGUGAAGCCUCGGGAUUGUGGUUCUUGCCGCUUUAUUGUGGCGUGACCGCGAGAACUUGUCUAAACCUUAUCAUCUAGAGGAAGGUGAAGUCGUAACA
This 331-nucleotide ribosomal RNA is filed under the name uncultured eukaryote. Its description in RNAcentral is "partial 18S ribosomal RNA". It matches the Rfam family "Eukaryotic small subunit ribosomal RNA", at positions 1470 to 1796 of the family's 1831-position model. The record is from RNAcentral.